This 595-nucleotide ribosomal RNA is filed under the name Salmonella enterica. RNAcentral's name for it is "partial 23S ribosomal RNA". It matches the Rfam family "Bacterial large subunit ribosomal RNA", at positions 711 to 1303 of the family's 2925-position model. RNAcentral also lists the same sequence under 1 other name. The record is from RNAcentral. Lineage: Bacteria; Pseudomonadati; Pseudomonadota; Gammaproteobacteria; Enterobacterales; Enterobacteriaceae.
AGACCCGAAACCCGGUGAUCUAGCCAUGGGCAGGUUGAAGGUUGGGUAACACUAACUGGAGGACCGAACCGACUAAUGUUGAAAAAUUAGCGGAUGACCUGUGGCUGGGGGUGAAAGGCCAAUCAAACCGGGAGAUAGCUGGUUCUCCCCGAAAGCUAUUUAGGUAGCGCCUCGUGAAUUCAUCUCCGGGGGUAGAGCACUGUUUCGGCUAGGGGGCCAUCCCGGCUUACCAACCCGAUGCAAACUGCGAAUACCGGAGAAUGUUAUCACGGGAGACACACGGCGGGUGCUAACGUCCGUCGUGAAGAGGGAAACAACCCAGACCGCCAGCUAAGGUCCCAAAGUCAUGGUUAAGUGGGAAACGAUGUGGGAAGGCCCAGACAGCCAGGAUGUUGGCUUAGAAGCAGCCAUCAUUUAAAGAAAGCGUAAUAGCUCACUGGUCGAGUCGGCCUGCGCGGAAGAUGUAACGGGGCUAAACCAUGCACCGAAGCUGCGGCAGCGACACUGUGUGUUGUUGGGUAGGGGAGCGUUCUGUAAGCCUGUGAAGGUGUGUCGUGAGGCAUGCUGGAGGUAUCAGAAGUGCGAAUGCUGACAU